RNAcentral lists this unclassified non-coding RNA (240 nucleotides) under soil metagenome. RNAcentral describes it as "partial contains 5.8S ribosomal RNA, internal transcribed spacer 2, and large subunit ribosomal RNA". The record is from RNAcentral.
AACGCACGAGACCUGCGGACCUGCGGAGGGAUCAUUAAUGAGAAACUGCCCCUCGCGGGUAGAUCUCCCACCCUUUGUAAACUUACCUUUGUUGCUUUGGCAGGCCCGUCUCCGGACCGCCGGCUUCGGCUGGCCAGUGCCUGCCAGAGGAUUCUAAAACUCUGCCUGUCAGUGUUGUCUGAGUCUAUAUACAAUCGUUAAAACUUUCAGCAACGGAUCUCUAGAUCGGAAGAGCACACG